Molecule: ribosomal RNA, 779 nt
Filed under: uncultured bacterium
Lineage: Bacteria
Description: bacterial SSU rRNA
Rfam family: Bacterial small subunit ribosomal RNA
Source: RNAcentral
AGAGUUUGAUCAUGGCUCAGGACGAACGCUGGCGGCGUGCUUAACACAUGCAAGUCGAGCGGAAAGGCCACUUCGGUGGUACUCGAGCGGCGAACGGGUGAGUAACACGUGAGUAAUCUGCCCCUGGCUUUGGGAUAGCCACCGGAAACGGUGAUUAAUACCGGAUACGACCACUUCUCGCAUGGGAUGGUGGUGGAAAGUUUUUCGGCCAGGGAUGUGCUCGCGGCCUAUCAGCUUGAUGGUGAGGUAAUGGCUCACCAUGGCUUCGACGGGUAGCCGGCCUGAGAGGGUGACCGGUCACACUGGGACUGAGACACGGCCCAGACUCCUACGGGAGGCAGCAGUGGGGAAUAUUGGACAAUGGGCGGAAGCCUGAUCCAGCAACGCCGCGUGAGGGAUGACGGCCUUCGGGUUGUAAACCUCUUUCAGUACCGACGAAGCGCAAGUGACGGUAGGUACAGAAGAAGCACCGGCCAACUACGUGCCAGCAGCCGCGGUAAUACGUAGGGUGCGAGCGUUGUCCGGAAUUAUUGGGCGUAAAGGGCUCGUAGGCGGUUUGUCGCGUCGGGAGUGAAAACCAGGUGCUUAACACCUGGGCUUGCUUUCGAUACGGGCAGACUAGAGGUAUGCAGGGGAGAACGGAAUUCCUGGUGUAGCGGUGAAAUGCGCAGAUAUCAGGAGGAACACCGGUGGCGAAGGCGGUUCUCUGGGCAUGACCUGGCGCUGAGGAGCGAAAGUGUGGGGAGCGAACAGGAUUAGAUACCCUGGUAGUCCACACC